UUUUUUUCGACCUUAUUUCUUUUAUCGAAUGAAGAAUUUUACUUUUUGGACUUAAACCAUUAUUCUUUCCUAACCCAAUUCUCUUUUUACUUAAAAGAGGAACUUCAUUUCAAGCCCAAAUCAUCUUUUUAUUUUUCUUCAUGAGCCCACUUUCAAUCUACAUCCCAGUCACUUUUGAACGCCACUUUUCACUCCACAAUUUCUGUUUCACAAAAUCAGGCUUGACAAGCUGAAAAAUAGGAACAAAUCGGUUUCUACUUACAUAUCGCCCCAUGAUCCCACGUUUUUAUAUCAUACAAUCUUUCUCCACUUUUUCAUUCAGUUCCAUAUCGAUGGAAGCAUUGACAGAGAGUGCAGAGAGAAAAGAAAUUGAAAGAGAGAGAGUUGGAGAUUUCUGAUCGUCUGAAUUGAGAGACGAAUCGAGGGAGAGACGGAAGACAAAUGCAGUGCGGCGACGGCUCCGUGUGGGCAUCGGCGAUCAUGGCGAUUAAAGCAGCCUCGACAGAUCAGCGGCGGCUUUAGUUUUGCAUCACGACCGAGCAGCAGCGGCGACGCGACCUCGGCUUUGGGCUGGAUCGCGCACAGCAACGGUGGGAGGAAAGCAGCAACGGUGACCGGCGGAAGUACAACAGCAGAACAGGAUCCACUCCGAGCUGAACUAUCGUGGAGGAGCGACGGAGGUGGAUGAGAGACCGAGAGGCCAAGGGAGUCAUCAGCCUUGGUAGAGCUGAGCGACGGCGACGGCGGUACUGGAGUUUCACGGCGGCGUUCAGCGGCGAUGCAGCAGCGACGGGGCGACGAGGCUGGGCGAGGGCAGCUCGGUGCCGGCUUCGUGCAGACAUCAACGUUGGCGAGAAAGCGAACCAGCAACCGGAGGUGGCGCUGAAGUAAACGGCGGAGGAGUGAAUUUUGGAAGAGAGACGACGGUAUUGAGGGAUUUCUCAAUUUGGGGGAUUUUCUAAUUUGGGAAGAAAAAGGAGAUAGACGAUGGUGGAGGAUGGGAAGUAUUAUUUGGGCUGCUGUACAAAAAUUUGAUUUGGGCCUAGAGUGAUUUAAUUGGUUGGGCCCAGUUUAUUAAUUAUAGUGGAGCCAUUGAUUUUCUCCAAGGAAGUUUUGCUCGUUGAAUUAUUUGGACUGGAUUUUGAGCUCAAGAAUGAUGGGAACGCGACGAUCGACUCCGAAAAUAAAUGAAGAAAAAGAGAAGCAUGGACUCAAGGAAGGGAAUUCUCCGCGAAUCAAAUUGAGGUCGAAGUAAGGAGUUCAAAUUCAGAAAAAUUAAACAGACGAGGUUUUGCAUAUACACGUGUCGGGAAUGGAAUGAAAAGAGGAGUUAAGGCUUUAAACGAUCGAGGUUGAGCGGUGACGAGCGCGGUGGAUGUUGAGCAUAAAGGUGAAGAAUGUCUAUCAAUGUCUAGAAUAUGUUGUGUCUUCAUACAUAGCAUUAUUAUACUCUCAAAAUGCUUCCGUUAAAUAUUGUUUCUUUUGAUGUUCGUGUAUUGUUGAGAUAUUUUCAUUUGGAGUUGUUGAUUGUUGAAAUGAUACUCUGAUUUUAUUGGAGCUAUUCCCGUUUGUUUCGA
Salvia splendens (bonfire salvia) is the source of this 1577-nucleotide long non-coding RNA. RefSeq lists it as uncharacterized. The record is from RefSeq and is a predicted model, not a curated record. NCBI's taxonomy places the organism in Eukaryota, Viridiplantae, Streptophyta, Magnoliopsida, Lamiales, Lamiaceae. The transcript is spliced from 2 exons.